Molecule: non-coding RNA, 26 nt
Filed under: Mus musculus (house mouse)
Lineage: Eukaryota; Metazoa; Chordata; Mammalia; Rodentia; Muridae
Source: RNAcentral
UGCUAUGAUCUGGCUUUAAUGAUAAU